Molecule: non-coding RNA, 1913 nt
Organism: Ciona intestinalis (vase tunicate)
Lineage: Eukaryota; Metazoa; Chordata; Ascidiacea; Phlebobranchia; Cionidae
Source: RefSeq, a predicted model, not a curated record
GGAUUGAAGGGUAGGCUCUUUAUUUCGUACCCCUGAGGCAUCCGCACUGCGUCAAUGGAUAUCUUAUAAAAUUUUCGCUGUGAUAUUUAGGGAAACUUGCUCAUACCUCUGGAGCCUAAUGUAAAAUAAGACAGUUUAGCACUUUGUAUGACUACCUACCCCUGCAGCAUAACGUAAAAUAAGAUAGUAUACCACUUUGUAUGAGUACCUACCCCUGGAGCAUAACGUAAUAUAUGGUAGUAUAGUACUUUGUAAGACUACCUACCCCUGGAGCAUAAUGUAAAAUAAGACAGUUUAGCACUUGUAUGACUACCUACCCCUGCAGCAUUAUGUAAAAUAAGGUAGUAUACCACUUUGUAUGACUGCCUACCCCUGCAGCAUAACGUAAAAUAAGAUAGUAUAGCACUUUGUAAGACUGCCUACCCCUGGAGCAUGUAGUAGUAGGAAACAACUAAUAAAUUUUCGUGAUUGUAAUAACCUUGCUGUUUUAACAGUGGAAAUAUAUUUACUUGCUUAAAGAGAUAUUAUUGCAUUGUGCAAAGCAAUUUAUAAGCAAAUUACAGUUUAUUGAAAAUGGCUCACCCUCACGUUGGACAUCUGCCCGAUGAAGAAAUCCUAAUGGAGUGUUCGGAAAUUUCAAAGAAGACGACAACUGCUUUCCCCUCGAGGAAGAAGUUUAAAUUUAGAAAACACUAAUAACUCUUUUCCUUUUAGGUCCACAGAAUCUGGGGCUUCAAGUGAUUCCAUGGAUGAUUUUGACCUGCGAAAUGCGAAGACCCGCAAAUCGGAGCUUGACUUAGCAAGGUUUGAUAACUUUUAUUGUUUACUUAGAAAAUCCAAAUAACUUGAAUAUAUAUAUAUAUAUAUAUGUUAUUACUUUUUUGGUUAUGCUUCAAUUGUUAUUAUGUACAAAAUACAUCUUUUUUGGGUAUUUUUAAACAAUUUCUUUGCAGCAAACAGAAGACUCUAAUGCCUUCUACAUUUAAAGACACCGUGAAUGAAGGAGUGGCAGCACCUGUCGAUGCUGCACUCGGUGGGAAUGUUAAGUUUUCAUCAAUGCAUGAUGUUCUACAUGCCAUUCAAGUGUUUGAAACAAAAACAACAACAAAAUUUGUUUGUUUUAAGAAAAAAAACACCACGGUAAGUUAAGAAACAAGUUUUUAACAUGUAGUAGGGACGGUGUGUAUAUGCGGCAAAUGGUUAUGGUCUUACAGGUUUUUGUGUGGCAGUAAAUUACAUUUUGAUUUUAUUCAGAUCUAAAGAAAUGUUUGGUACAAUUUAAUGACAAUAUCCCGUUUGUGGUUUAAGUCUUUCACCAAGCUGGAGUGCCAACAUGACAAGCUUAGAAUUGGUCAAAGGAAGAAACCCAGUAAAAAUGUUGACCACAUAUACCAUGAAAAACAUUAUAAAAGAGACUGCCAAGCAUUUGUAACCAUAAGGGAAAUGCUACAAUUCCCCAAUUACAAGGCAAGUUAGUGUUUUUUUUUGUGUUGCCUAUAAUAUGAAACCUGUAUUUAUUUAACCUUUUAUGCAGUUAAAUAAUGGGAAAAAAUCAGAAAAGGAAAAGGUUUCCCGAACCAUACGUUCUGUUGGUGUUAAUUCUUGUACAACUUCUUCUGUACAACAAGUUUUGAAGUUCGAUUUCCUGCUUUAACUGAUCACAUUGGUCACCCUGUUGGCCAGCCUGCAGGCAUUUUGCAAAGUGUCGACAAAAGGUUGAUUCAAAAAAUUGGUCAGUUGAUUGAUGAAAGGGUUUAUUCAAUAAUGGAAAUUAAGCGACAUUUGAGAAUGUAUGUUAUUUUGGAUCUUUUUAAAAACGAAACACCUCCGUUGGAAACCAAUCGAAGGUUCUUUCCCACAACUAAGGACAUCCGUAACCACCAUUUUAAGGCUAUUACAAAACGAAAGCUAUC